GACGAACGCUGGCGGCGUGCCUAAUACAUGCAAGUAGGACGCAGUUGCGAACGGGUGAGUAACGCGUAGGUAACUACCUAUUAGAGGGGGAUAACUAUUGGAAACGAUAGCUAAUACCGCAUACUAGUAGAUGGACCUGCGUUGUAUUAGCUAGUAGGUAGGGUAAUGGCCUACCUAGGCAACGAUACAUAGCCGACGUGGUGGGGUGGUCGGCCACACUGGGACGGGGACACGGCCGAGACGCCUACGGGAGGAAGCAGUAGGGAAUCUUCGGAAAUGGGGGGAACCUUGACCGAGCAACGCAGGGGGAGUGAAGAAGGUUUUCGGAGCGUAAAGCUCUGUUGUUAAGGAAGCGGUACUUAACCAGAAAGGGACGGCUAACUACGUGCCAGCAGCCGCGGUAAUAC
Molecule: ribosomal RNA, 407 nt
Filed under: uncultured bacterium
Lineage: Bacteria
Description: partial 16S ribosomal RNA
Rfam family: Bacterial small subunit ribosomal RNA
Source: RNAcentral